This 459-nucleotide ribosomal RNA is filed under the name uncultured bacterium. Its description in RNAcentral is "partial 16S ribosomal RNA". It matches the Rfam family "Bacterial small subunit ribosomal RNA", at positions 338 to 795 of the family's 1533-position model. The record is from RNAcentral.
CCUACGGAGGCAGCAGUGAGGAAUAUUGGUCAAUGGGCGCGAGCCUGAACCAGCCAAGUAGCGUGAAGGAUGACUGCCCUACGGGUUGUAAACUUCUUUUAUAAAGGAAUAAAGUGAGGCACGUGUGCCUUUUUGUAUGUACUUUAUGAAUAAGGAUAGGCUAACUCCGUGCCAGCAGCCGCGGUAAUACGGAGGAUCCGAGCGUUAUCCGGGUUUAUUUGGUUUAAAGGUAGCGUAGAUGGGUUGUUAAGUCAGUUGUGAAAGUUGUCGGCUCAACCGUAAAAUUGCAAUUGUUACUGGCAGCCUUGAGUACAGUUGAGGUAGGCGGAAUUCGUGGUGUAGCGGUGAAAUGCUUAGAUAUCACGAAGAACUCCGAUUGCGAAGGCAGCUUACUAAACUGCCACUGACAUUGAUGCUCGAAAGUGUGGGUAUCAAACAGGAUUAGAUACCCCUGUAGUC